UUAGCCUAAACAGCCUACAAUGCCAGUCCCAUAAUAUAAACCCACCCUAGAUGCAUGUCUACAAAUACCCUCCACGGUGGUCAACAGCUCAGAAGAGUUGCAGCCAUCAUCAGCUUUGAGGUCAGAACUCCACAGAGGAAACAGACGAUUUAAGAUGCUUUGCUCCAGGUGUGUGCUACCUCUCCUGGCUCUUUACAUGUUGCUGGAGGAGAUAUCUGCAGCUGUAUUGCCCAGCAUCAGGAACAAAAGGGAAGUUAACUGGUUGGACCAAGAGCUCUUCCCCCGACUGCUUGACCUCUCUGUGGGGGACGCCGAGGAGGUGAGCAGGGAUGGGGACGGUCGCCCCUCUCAUUCAGAGACCUUUCUCACCCCAACAGAGCAACUUUCUUUCCAACGCCAGAGCCAGUAUCAGUACCAGCGUAAAGCCAAUGAAAAGAGGAGGAAGGUUGCUCCUCUGGACUCCAUUGGUGGAUUUCAAAUGUCCAGUUUCUGAAACAGAAAGGACGAACCUGACACCCACUGGGAAGAAUUCAGGGAAUAAACAGCAACUACAACAAUUGAGCUCAGUGCCAAUCCAAUACAUGACCUUCUGAUAUAUUCCAUAUUUAUUCAUUAUUUAACUCACUGCCAUACUAACAAGUGAGAUGCCUGUUGACCCACUCCCUCUAGUGGUGGAGGACAGAAACAAGACAAACACAGCUGUGUGCAAACACCUAAUUAAAUGUGAUGAAGUAA
This is a long non-coding RNA of Dicentrarchus labrax (European seabass), 735 nucleotides long. RefSeq lists it as uncharacterized. The record is from RefSeq and is a predicted model, not a curated record. NCBI's taxonomy places the organism in Eukaryota, Metazoa, Chordata, Actinopteri, Moronidae. The transcript is spliced from 5 exons.